GGAGCGAAGUCUUUGAUUCCCCGCUGCCAAGAAAAGCUUCUAGCGAGAUAAAAGGUGCCUGUACCGCAAACCGACACAGGUAGGCGAGGAGAGAAUCCUAAGGUGUGCGAGAGAACUCUGGUUAAGGAACUCGGCAAAAUGACCCCGUAACUUCGGGAGAAGGGGUGCUUUCUUAACGGAAAGCCGCAGUGAAUAGGCCCAAGCGACUGUUUAGCAAAAACACAGCUCUCUGCGAAGCCGUAAGGCGAAGUAUAGGGGGUGACACCUGCCCGGUGCUGGAAGGUUAAGGAGAGGGGUUAGCGUAAGCGAAGCUCUGAACUGAAGCCCCAGUAAACGGCGGCCGUAACUAUAACGGUCCUAAGGUAGCGAAAUUCCUUGUCGGGUAAGUUCCGACCCGCACGAAAGGUGUAACGAUUUGGGCACUGUCUCAACCAGAGACUCGGUGAAAUUAUAGUACCUGUGAAGAUGCAGGUUACCCGCGACAGGACGGAAAGACCCCGUGGAGCUUUACUGUAGCCUGAUAUUGAAUUUUGGUACAGUUUGUACAGGAUAGGCGGGAGCCAUUGAAACCGGAGCGCUAGCUUCGGUGGAGGCGCUGGUGGGAUACCGCCCUGACUGUAUUGAAAUUCUAACCUACGGGUCUUAUCGACCCGGGAGACAGUGUCAGGUGGGCAGUUUGACUGGGGCGGUCGCCUCCUAAAGUGUAACGGAGGCGCCCAAAGGUUCCCUCAGAAUGGUUGGAAAUCAUUCGUAGAGUGCAAAGGCAUAAGGGAGCUUGACUGCGAGACCUACAAGUCGAGCAGGGACGAAAGUCGGGCUUAGUGAUCCGGUGGUUCCGCAUGGAAGGGCCAUCGCUCAACGGAUAAAAGCUACCCCGGGGAUAACAGGCUUAUCUCCCCCAAGAGUCCACAUCGACGGGGAGGUUUGGCACCUCGAUGUCGGCUCAUCGCAUCCUGGGGCUGUAGUCGGUCCCAAGGGUUGGGCUGUUCGCCCAUUAAAGCGGUACGCGAGCUGGGUUCAGAACGUCGUGAGACAGUUCGGUCCCUAUCCGUCGUGGGCGUAGGAAAUUUGAGAGGAGCUGUCCUUAGUACGAGAGGACCGGGAUGGACGCACCGCUGGUGUACCAGUUGUUCUGCCAAGGGCAUAGCUGGGUAGCUAUGUGCGGAAGGGAUAAGUGCUGAAAGCAUCUAAGCAUGAAGCCCCCCUCAAGAUGAGAUUUCCCAUAGCGUAAGCUAGUAAGAUCCCUGAAAGAUGAUCAGGUUGAUAGGUUCGAGGUGGAAGCAUGGUGACAUGUGGAGCUGACGAAUACUAAUAGAUCG
Molecule: ribosomal RNA, 1319 nt
Filed under: Bacillus cereus
Lineage: Bacteria; Bacillati; Bacillota; Bacilli; Caryophanales; Bacillaceae
Also listed under: 2 other names
Description: partial 23S ribosomal RNA
Rfam family: Bacterial large subunit ribosomal RNA
Source: RNAcentral